This 160-nucleotide ribosomal RNA is filed under the name Mesua ferrea. Its description in RNAcentral is "5.8S ribosomal RNA". It matches the Rfam family "5.8S ribosomal RNA". Rfam says of the family: 5.8S ribosomal RNA (5.8S rRNA) is a component of the large subunit of the eukaryotic ribosome. It is transcribed by RNA polymerase I as part of the 45S precursor that also contains 18S and 28S rRNA. The record is from RNAcentral. Lineage: Eukaryota; Viridiplantae; Streptophyta; Magnoliopsida; Malpighiales; Calophyllaceae.
GACUCUCGGCAACGGAUAUCUCGGCUCUCGCAUCGAUGAAGAACGUAGCGAAAUGCGAUACUUGGUGUGAAUUGCAGAAUCCCGUGAACCAUCGAGUCUUUGAACGCAAGUUGCGCCCGAAGCCUUUCGGCCGAGGGCACGUCUGCCUGGGUGUCACGCA